ACGGCCACAUGACAUUCAAACAUUGGUUCCAGUAUGAUCACCGAAGUUAAGCAACCAUCAGCCUGGUCAUUACCUCGAUGGGUGACCACCUGGGAAUAGUAGGUGAUGUAAG
Non-coding RNA from Acanthosepion pharaonis, 112 nucleotides. Lineage: Eukaryota; Metazoa; Mollusca; Cephalopoda; Sepiida; Sepiidae. The record is from the annotation of a GenBank genome assembly.